RNA transcript from Abrus precatorius (Indian licorice), 3102 nucleotides. It is a transcript of the gene named inositol-tetrakisphosphate 1-kinase 3-like, with no coding region annotated. Lineage: Eukaryota; Viridiplantae; Streptophyta; Magnoliopsida; Fabales; Fabaceae. The record is from RefSeq and is a predicted model, not a curated record. The transcript has 11 exons.
AUUCACUCCCAGUCUUCCGUUCCCUGCAAUUCCAUCACUUUUUUUCUUUCUCCGCCAAACAAUUCCCUCUCAUUUCGCCUCUCUCUUACUCUUUCUUUCUUCGUUCUCGAGAAACUUCGUUAGGGUUAGGGUUAGGGUUAGGUCUAGGGAGUUAGGUUUCACCAUGAGGUUGAGGGAGGACGUACCUUGUAGGAACGAUGAAGGUAUUGAGAAAGAGGAAGUAAUAGAGGACGUAACUGUGCCACAAAAUCAAUGGUGUCCUGUGGUGAAUGCUGGAUUUUCUUCGCCUAAGAGACUCGUUGUCGUUGGUUAUGCUCUCACUACUAAAAAGAUUAAGAGUUUUUUGCAGCCUAAGCUUGAAGGUUUAGCUAGGAACAAGGGGAUACUAUUCGUAGCUAUCGACCAUAAUAGGCCUCUUUCAGAUCAAGGUCCUUUUGAUAUUGUGUUGCAUAAGUUAUCAGGAAAAGAGUGGCGCCAGGUUCUUGAGAGUAAUUGUCCCUAUCUCUCACUAUGAAUCAUGAACCAGUAUGUGAGGUCGAGGCCUCAAGGUUCCCGCAAGUGAGGAUGUCACUUCUUUCAGGGCCAUCUAGCUGAUUUUGUCAGGUUUUAUAUGACGAAUUUUUUCAAAAGGUUUUUUCCCCCCCCUUAUAAAUUCUUUUGGGCAGGUCAUUUCUUCUGAGUGCAACGGUACCCUUCUGGUGGUUUAAGAGAGAUAGAUGCCCUAUAAGUUCCAUUCUCAUUUUCCAACUCUCUGUGCUGUAGUGUUUGCUAUACUUCUAAACUAGAUAUGGAUGUUAUAGUGGUCAAGUAUGUAUAGUAUUAUGCGAGUUGCUCCCCUCACUUGUCUGAUCAAUGGACUGGUUGACUGGGCACAAAUUGCGGUGACUAUCACAUGCCUUUAUUAACCCAUAUUUGCUACCUGGUUGAUGCCCUCACUCUGUACUGUAUUUACAUGCAUGUCUGACAUUCUUUCAUAAAAAUUUCCUAAGCUGUAAUAAUACCUAUUUCAUGUACUAUGCUUUCAUCUAUAUUAUUAGUAAAUAAAUUCUUCUGUAUCUGUCUUUUAUGUUGAAAUUUCAACAUUAUACCCACAAAAAAUGGAAAAUUUAUGUUUAAUCAGAAGACUGAUGCAAGCGUUUUGCAUUGCAUUUUCAAUUUUAGGGAUUUUGUUGCAAAUACAUCUUCUAUCAUUUUGCUUUAGAUCCAUUUUCCUGAUAUCUCUGUGAAAUUAAAAGUUAAAAUGAAUUAUAAAUUUAUUCUGUAAUGCCUUGUGAAUAAUUUGUUGAACUCACUAUUUUCAUGAUUAUUGGUUGAUCAUUAAUUAAGGUUAAGCUUUCAUACUUGUAUGAAUGAGAGUUUAAUCAAAUUUCUGCUAUGCUCUCUUCUGCCUUGGAAUCUUAGUUGUCACAUUCUAGUGUUUACUGAAGGGAACAUCAAAGUUUCUUGUUUGAGUUUAGCAGAAAAUGUGAACUGAAGUAAGGAUUCUUUCGAGAUGAAUAAAUAUUCUGAGAAUUCUUUUGGAAAAAGACAAUGUUGAUUUCUUAUGUUUGGCUGUUGCAUUUUUUUAAAAUAGUAUUUAGAGAAGCAAUGACCUAUCUUCUUAUCUCUUAACUUCUGAAUGUAUUUUAGGAAUAUAGGCAGUCACACCCAGAAGUUACUGUUCUGGAUCCUCCGGAUGCCAUACAACAUUUACGCAACCGUCAGUAUAUGCUUCAGGCUGUUGCAGAUAUGAAUCUUUCUGAUGCCUAUGGCAUAGUUGAUGUUCCUCGGCAAUUAGUUAUCAAGAGAGAUGCAUUAGCCAUCCCAGAGUUGGUCAACAGAGCUGGCUUGACUUUACCCCUUGGUAUGUAUAUGUUGGUUUUUCAACUACUUUUAGAUGCUGCAGUUAUGCGAUUUCUCAGAGCAUGGGCGCAUGGACAUUUAUUGUUACGAGGGUUGUGUUUUUGAGGCAAAGUCAUUAGAACUAAUGAAAAUAGGCAUGUUGCAAAGCCACUUGUUGCUGAUGGAAGUGCAAAAUCCCAUGAAUUAUCACUUGCUUAUGAGCAAUACUCCCUUCAAAAACUUGAACCUCCUCUUGUUCUUCAGGAGUUUGUCAACCAUGGGGGUGUUCUCUUUAAGGUUUAUAUAGUUGGUGAUGCUAUAAAGGUAGUUAGACGGUUUUCAUUACCUGAUGUUAGCAAGUGGGAACUCUCCAAAGAUGCUGGCAUAUAUAAUUUUCCAAGGGUUUCUUGUGCUGCAGCUUCUGCAGAUGAUGCAGAUCUGGACCCUACUGUUGCUGAGCUUCCUCCAAGACCUUUACUAGAGAAACUGGCUAAGGAACUUCGAUGGCGAUUGGGUCUUCGUCUAUUCAACUUGGAUAUUAUUCGCGAGUAUGGAACAAGAGAUCAUUUUUACGUCAUUGACAUAAACUACUUCCCCGGAUAUGGCAAAAUGCCAGAAUAUGAACACAUAUUUACAGACUUCCUUUUGAGCUUGGGGCAGGGGAAGUAUAAGAAAAAAUCUGGCUAAAUUAAUUCUUUCCAGCCCUUUGAUUUAUGGAGUCCUCUUAAUUUUUGCUCUAUAUAUGGUGGAAGUGCCAGGAAGAACUUUAAAUAGAUUGUGUUUUGGAAACUUGGACCUGUACAGAGGAACUUUCUGCUGCCUUUCCAAAGUAAUGAAUGUUGUUGCAUUAGCCAAAUCCUGAAAUUCCGGCGGGUAGCUUGAUGACCGAAGGUGUCAAUACCUGCAGUGUUGUAUUUGAAGGAUUUGUCUUCGCACCGAGGGGUGCUGUUGACCAUGAAUGUUGAUAAUGUUUGAUCAGUUGAUGGAUACUGACCGUUCUUUGCUGUAUAUAGGUAUAAAUUCUUGACAGUAGGAAUCUAAUGCAGAUUUUCAUCAAAGCACACUUUUUUGUAUUUUGUUUACAAAUGAUCUCAUCAGCAUGCCGAAUAACCGCCGGAACCCCUUGCUCCUGCCUGUUUUACGUAUGCGUCUCAUUGUCUGUCUUUUUUUGGGUCAAAACAUGUCUGUCUGCCUUAACCGUAAUUUUUAGCCCUCCAUUUUAAGUGGUAAAAUUAUACAGUAAAAUGUUUGAAAGUUAUGAAAUGAUAUUUGUGCAAUGCG